RNAcentral lists this ribosomal RNA (253 nucleotides) under uncultured bacterium. RNAcentral describes it as "partial 16S ribosomal RNA". It matches the Rfam family "Bacterial small subunit ribosomal RNA", at positions 524 to 776 of the family's 1533-position model. The record is from RNAcentral.
UACGAAGGGGGCUAGCGUUGCUCGGAAUCACUGGGCGUAAAGGGUGCGUAGGCGGGUCUUUAAGUCAGGGGUGAAAUCCUGGAGCUCAACUCCAGAACUGCCUUUGAUACUGAGGAUCUUGAGUUUGGGAGAGGUGAGUGGAACUGCGAGUGUAGAGGUGAAAUUCGUAGAUAUUCGCAAGAACACCAGUGGCGAAGGCGGCUCACUGGCCCGAUACUGACGCUGAGGCACGAAAGCGUGGGGAGCAAACAGG